This is a non-coding RNA of Pogona vitticeps (central bearded dragon), 472 nucleotides long. NCBI's taxonomy places the organism in Eukaryota, Metazoa, Chordata, Lepidosauria, Squamata, Agamidae. The record is from RefSeq and is a predicted model, not a curated record.
GGCAUCUAGUGGUGAAGACUGGAAUAUGGCAGGUGUCCUGGUGAAACCGAUACAGCUUAGGAAAUCUGGGAGAGGGGAGAGGAUUACAGUUCUCAGAUACUCUGGGCCAACAUGUCCAACAGUCAAGCCAGCUGAAGGAUUCUAGGACUUCUAGACCAGAAAGAAGGCAGAAGGAAGCACCACCUUUCAGAGAAGAAUAUGGAACCUGUGAAAAUGGACGUGGGACACAACCAGCACUGGCACAAAGAAAAGCUCUGUAUAAAUCAGUUAUCCACUGAGAUGGAAGAGAACUGAAACCAUGGCAAAUAUUGGCAUAAACUAGCUCGGAGCGAGAAGAAUAUUAACAGCCCAGCUGCAGCUGGAAGAAGAUUAAAAUUCAACCCUCACCUUAAAGGGAAGUAGUUCUGCUCUCUGCUAUGAAAUCCACAAAUGGGGUCAGAAUCUAAAAUCCAAUGACUUUUUGGAGUGAUAU